GAGUUUCAAAAAGCAACAGUUUGAGUUAGCUUUCAGAUUCUGCUUUUAUAAUGAAGAGCAAUUUACUUGCCAUCUUUGUUCUUGCCACACUCGUGUGUAGCACGUGGGCUACGCUUGGUGGGAAGGCAGUUCUCAAGGAAAAGGAUAUGAUGAGAAAAAUUGUAUUUGACAAAAAGACACCAGAUGUGUUUUAUUGUCCAAUGCAGAAGCCGUCUUCGAUGAACAAAAUUAUUGUCACAGCACGGCCCCUACACAAAUUGUGCGAAUACGAAGGCAACCCAUUGCCAGCUGAAUAUAAAUCUGACUGUUACAUGGAUAUUGAUGAAUCGGAUUAUGCAUGCAAGGAGAAAUAUAGAAUUAUGAAACGAUUCGCCAAAGACGAACCCUAAUACAAUAAUCACAAACAACACAACAAAUUUUAACAGCUUAUUGUACAUUAUCAUUGCACCAUACGCUGGCAGCUUUGAGUAACUGGAUAACACGGCUAAAUAUCACAGUUUUGUUUUGCUAUGCGUAAAUUUCCCCCGGGCAGCGAAGAGCCGUUCAACGGUGCCCGUUUAAAGCGAUUCAUGACUUAUAACAAGGAACUCAUCUAAACCGACGGUAUUAUAUGCAUAUGUGAGAGAACACUAUUCAUUUUGGGACCUGAUUCUAAGCUGGUUUAAAUAUCGAACGAUUAACUAACAGAAAGAAAAUUAUAAUUAUAAUUUAAGUGAACCGGUUAGAUAAUAAAGAUUGGCUUUUAUAUACUUGCCUAAACAAA
This is an RNA transcript of Drosophila montana, 763 nucleotides long. RefSeq lists it as uncharacterized. The record is from RefSeq and is a predicted model, not a curated record. Lineage: Eukaryota; Metazoa; Arthropoda; Insecta; Diptera; Drosophilidae. The transcript is spliced from 5 exons.